Molecule: ribosomal RNA, 1399 nt
Filed under: metagenome
Description: bacterial LSU rRNA
Rfam family: Bacterial large subunit ribosomal RNA
Source: RNAcentral
CAAAAAUCCGCCGGGCUUAGAUGAGGGGUGAUAACGAGGCUGCUUGCAGCCGAAGUGAGUGAUACCCUGCUUCCAGGAAAAGCCACUAAGCUUCAGCUAUACACGACCGUACCGCAAACCGACACUGGUGCGCGAGAUGAGUAUUCUAAGGCGCUUGAGAGAACUCAGGAGAAGGAACUCGGCAAAUUGACACCGUAACUUCGGAAGAAGGUGUGCCUUUAGUAGGUGAACCUGUACAAGGGGAGCCCAAUGAGGUUGCAAAAAAUCGGUGGCUGCGACUGUUUAUUAAAAACACAGCACUCUGCAAACACGAAAGUGGACGUAUAGGGUGUGACGCCUGCCCGGUGCUGGAAGAUUAAAUGAUGGGGUGCAAGCUCUUGAUUGAAGUCCCAGUAACCGGCGGCCGUAACAAUAACGGUCCUAAGGUAGCGAAAUUCCUUGUCGGGUAAGUUCCGACCUGCACGAAUGGCGUAACGAUGGCCACACUGUCUCCUCCUGAGACUCAGCGAAGUUGAAAUGUUUGUGAUGAUGCAAUCUCCCCGCGGAAAGACGGAAAGACCCCAUGAACCUUUACUGUAGCUUUGUAUUGGACUUUGAACAGAUCUGUGUAGGAUAGGUGGGAGGCUUUGAAGCAGGGUCGCUAGAUCUUGUGGAGCCAACGUUGAAAUACCACCCUGGUGUGUUUGAGGUUCUAACCUAGGUCCAUUAUCUGGAUCGGGGACAGUGCAUGGUAGGCAGUUUGACUGGGGCGGUCUCCUCCCAAAGCGUAACGGAGGAGUUCGAAGGUACGCUAGUUACGGUCGGACAUCGUGACGAUAGUGCAAUGGCAUAAGCGUGCUUAACUGCGAGACUGACAAGUCGAGCAGAUGCGAAAGCAGGACAUAGUGAUCCGGUGGUUCUGUAUGGAAGGGCCAUCGCUCAACGGAUAAAAGGUACUCUGGGGAUAACAGGCUGAUACCGCCCAAGAGUUCAUAUCGACGGCGGUGUUUGGCACCUCGAUGUCGGCUCAUCUCAUCCUGGGGCUGUAGCCGGUCCCAAGGGUAUGGCUGUUCGCCAUUUAAAGAGGUACGUGAGCUGGGUUUUAAAACGUCGUGAGACAGUUUGGUCCCUAUCUUCCGUGGGCGCUGCAGAUUUGAGGAAGCCUGCUCCUAGUACGAGAGGACCGGAGUGGACAUACCUCUGGUGUAUCGGUUGUCACGCCAGUGGCAUUGCCGAGUAGCUAAGUAUGGAAGAGAUAAACGCUGAAAGCAUCUAAGCGUGAAACUCGUUUCAAGAUGAGAUCUGCCGGGGCCUUGAGCCCCCUAAAGAGUCGUUCAAGACCAGGACGUUGAUAGGUCAGGUGUGGAAGCGCAGUAAUGCGUUAAGCUAACUGAUACUAAUUGCUCGUGCGGCUUGACCC